CCUACGGGAGGCAGCAGUGGGGAAUCUUGCGCAAUGGGCGAAAGCCUGACGCAGCCAUGCCGCGUGAAUGAUGAAGGUCUUAGGAUUGUAAAAUUCUUUCACCGGGGACGAUAAUGACGGUACCCGGAGAAGAAGCCCCGGCUAACUUCGUGCCAGCAGCCGCGGUAAUACGAAGGGGGGCUAGCGUUGCUCGGAAUUACUGGGCGUAAAGGGAGCGUAGGCGGAUAGUUUAGUCAGAGGUGAAAGCCCAGGGCUCAACCUUGGAAUUGCCUUUGAUACUGGCUAUCUUGAGUUUGGGAGAGGUGAGUGGAACUCCGAGUGUAGAGGUGAAAUUCGUAGAUAUUCGGAAGAACACCAGUGGCGAAGGCGACUCACUGGCCCAAUACUGACGCUGAGGCUCGAAAGCGUGGGGAGCAAAACAGGAUUAGAUACCCUGGUAGUCCACGCCGUAAACGAUGAGUGCUAGUUNUCGGCAUGCAUGCAUGUCGGUGACGCAGCUAAACGCAUUAAGCACUCCGCCNGGAGACGUGCAGAAUAAACUAAAGAAGUAGAGNGNGAGAGNGCGACGAGACGACGAGGAGAG
Molecule: ribosomal RNA, 583 nt
Filed under: uncultured bacterium
Lineage: Bacteria
Description: bacterial SSU rRNA
Rfam family: Bacterial small subunit ribosomal RNA (bases 1-520)
Source: RNAcentral